Molecule: ribosomal RNA, 812 nt
Filed under: Limosilactobacillus reuteri
Lineage: Bacteria; Bacillati; Bacillota; Bacilli; Lactobacillales; Lactobacillaceae
Description: bacterial SSU rRNA
Rfam family: Bacterial small subunit ribosomal RNA
Source: RNAcentral
GAUGAACGCCGGCGGUGUGCCUAAUACAUGCAAGUCGUACGCACUGGCCCAACUGAUUGAUGGUGCUUGCACCUGAUUGACGAUGGAUCACCAGUGAGUGGCGGACGGGUGAGUAACACGUAGGUAACCUGCCCCGGAGCGGGGGAUAACAUUUGGAAACAGAUGCUAAUACCGCAUAACAACAAAAGCCACAUGGCUUUUGUUUGAAAGAUGGCUUUGGCUAUCACUCUGGGAUGGACCUGCGGUGCAUUAGCUAGUUGGUAAGGUAACGGCUUACCAAGGCGAUGAUGCAUAGCCGAGUUGAGAGACUGAUCGGCCACAAUGGAACUGAGACACGGUCCAUACUCCUACGGGAGGCAGCAGUAGGGAAUCUUCCACAAUGGGCGCAAGCCUGAUGGAGCAACACCGCGUGAGUGAAGAAGGGUUUCGGCUCGUAAAGCUCUGUUGUUGGAGAAGAACGUGCGUGAGAGUAACUGUUCACGCAGUGACGGUAUCCAACCAGAAAGUCACGGCUAACUACGUGCCAGCAGCCGCGGUAAUACGUAGGUGGCAAGCGUUAUCCGGAUUUAUUGGGCGUAAAGCGAGCGCAGGCGGUUGCUUAGGUCUGAUGUGAAAGCCUUCGGCUUAACCGAAGAAGUGCAUCGGAAACCGGGCGACUUGAGUGCAGAAGAGGACAGUGGAACUCCAUGUGUAGCGGUGGAAUGCGUAGAUAUAUGGAAGAACACCAGUGGCGAAGGCGGCUGUCUGGUCUGCAACUGACGCUGAGGCUCGAAAGCAUGGGUAGCGAACAGGAUUAGAUACCCUGGUAGUCC